RNAcentral lists this ribosomal RNA (450 nucleotides) under uncultured bacterium. Its description in RNAcentral is "partial 16S ribosomal RNA". It matches the Rfam family "Bacterial small subunit ribosomal RNA", at positions 354 to 796 of the family's 1533-position model. The record is from RNAcentral.
GUGGGGAAUAUUCCGCAAUGGACGAAAGUCUGACGGAGCAACGCCGCGUGAGUGAUGAAGGUUUUCGGACUGUAAAGCUCUGUUGUUUAGGACGAAAGUGCCUGUUGCAAACAGUUACAGGUAUUGACGGUACUAAACGAGGAAGCCACGGCUAACUACGUGCCAGCAGCCGCGGUAAUACGUAGGUGGCAAGCGUUGUCCGGAAUUAUUGGGCGUAAAGAGCAUGUAGGCGGGAAUCUAAGUCUGUUGUGAAAAUGCGGGGCUCAACCCCGUAUUGCGAUGGAAACUGGGUUUCUUGAGUGCAGGAGAGGAAAGGGGAAUUCCCAGUGUAGCGGUGAAAUGCGUAGAUAUUGGGAGGAACACCAGUGGCGAAGGCGCCUUUCUGGACUGUGUCUGACGCUGAGAUGCGAAAGCCAGGGUAGCGAACGGGAUUAGAAACCCUAGUAGUCC